Molecule: long non-coding RNA, 3244 nt
Organism: Meleagris gallopavo (turkey)
Lineage: Eukaryota; Metazoa; Chordata; Aves; Galliformes; Phasianidae
Source: Ensembl
CCGGGGUGUCACUUAUGGUUCACUUAUGGGUCCGUGGCGUCACUUAUGGGUCACUUAUGGGUCUGUGGCGUCACUUAUGGGUCACUUGUGGGUCCAGGGUGUCACUUAUGGAUCACUAUGGGGUCUGGGGCGUCACUUAUGGAUCACUUGUUGAUCCCAUGCCCAUCCCAUGUAGAUCCCAUGUUCCUCCUGUAUCCGUCCCAUAUAGAUCCCAUGUCCAUCCCGUGUUGAUCCCGUGUUCAUCCCAUGUUGAUCCUAUGUUGCUUUGCUGCUCUACCCGUGUCCAUCCCACAUUGAUCCCGUGUCCAUCCCAUGUCAUCCCGUGUUGAUCCCAUGUUUGAGUCACUGCUGUACUCAUUUCCAUCCCAUGUUCAUCCCAUGUUAAUCCCAUGUUAUCCACUGCUGUUCUCAUCUCCAUCCUGUGUUAAUCCCAUGUCAAUCCCAUGUCCAUCCCAUGUUCAUCCCGUGUUGAUCCCAUGUUGACUCACUGCAGUACUCACCUCUAGCCCAUGUUCAUCCCAUGUUGAUUCCGUGUUAAUCCCAUGUAGAUUCCAUGUUAAUCCCAUGUUAGAUUCGCUGUUGUCCUCAUUUCUAUCCCGUGUUAAUCCCAUGUUAAUCCCGUGUCCAUCCCAUGUUAAACCCAUGUUGAUCUCAUGUUGAUUCGCUGCUGUACUCAUCUCUGUCCCGUGUUCGUCCCAUGUUGAUCCCGUGUCCAUCCCAUGUUAAGCCAUGUUCAAUUCCUCUCCAUCCCAUGUUAAUCCCGUGUCCAUCCCGUGUUGUCAGCCUGCUGGUCACGUGACCACCCCGUGUCCCACCCAUGUCAGCUGCCUGCUGCUCACGUGACCAUCCCACGCGCAUCUCGUGUUCGUGGUAUGUUGCUCACAUGUGCCUCGUUGACACGUCAGCACUUCAUCCCAUGUUGAUCCCGUGUUGAUCCCGUGUUCUUCUCAUGUUAAUCCCAUGUUGGUUCACCGUUGUGCCUUCUCCAUCCAUGUUGAUCCCAUGUUAAUCCCAUGAUGAUCCCGUGUUCAUCCCAUGUUAAUCCCAUGUUGAUUCACUGUUGUGCCUGCCUCCUUCCCAUGUCAAUCCCAUGAUGAUCCCGUGUUAAUCCCAUGUUCAUCCCAUGUGGAUUCACCACCGUGCCUGCCUCCAUCCCAUGUUAAUCCCGUGAUGAUCCUGUGUUAAUCCCAUGUUGAUUCACCACCGUGCCUGCCUCCAUCCCAUGUUAAUCCCGUGAUGAUCCCGUGUUCAUCCCAUGUUAAUCCCAUGUUGAUUCACCACUGUGCCUGCCUCCAUCCCAUGAUAAUCCCAUGUCAAUCCCAUGUUGAUUCACCGUUGUGCCUGUCUCCAUCCAUGUUGAUCCCAUGUUAAUCCCAUGAUGAUCCCGUGUUCAUCUCAUGUUAAUCCCAUGUUGAUUCACCACUGUGCCUGUCUCCGUCCCAUGUUAAUGCAUGUUAAUCCCAUGUUGAUUCACCGUUGUGCCUGUCUCCAUCCCAUGUUAAUCCCACAUAGAUCCCAUGUUAAUCCCAUGUUGAUUCACCACCGUGCCUGUUUCCAUUCCAUAUUAAUCCCAUGUCAAUCCCAUGAUGAUCCCGUGUUCAUCCCAUAUUAAUCCUAUGUUGAUUCACCACCAUGCCUGUUUCCAUCCCAUGUUGAUCCCAUGUUCAUCCCAUGUUGAUUCACCACCGUGCCUGCCUCCAUCCCAUGUCAAUCCCAUGUAGAUCCCGUGUUCUUCCCAUGUUCAUCCCAUGUUGAUUUACCACCGUUCCUGCCUCCAUCCCGUGUUAAUCCCAUGUAGAUCCCGUGUUAAUCCCAUGUUAACCCCAUGUUAAUUCCCUGUUGUGCCUGCCUCCAUCCCAUGUUAACACCGUGUUGGCUGCCUGACGGUCACGUGACCCUCCCAUGUUCAUCCCAUGUUCACAGCUCUUGGUCACGCGUGUCACCUCACGGACGUGUCGGUUCCAUGUCAGCACUUAAUCACGUGUUACUCACGUGUCCAUCCCGUGUUCAUCCCAUGUCUAUCCCAUGUUUAUUCCAUCUCAAUCCCAUGUAGAACCCAUGUCGAUCUCAUGUUGGUCCCAUGUAGAUCCCAUGUAGAUCCCAUGACCAUUCUGUGACCAUUCUAUGACCAUUCCAUGUUAAUCACAUGUAGAUCUCAUGUUGACCCCAUGGCAAUCCCAUGCCCAUCCCAUGUCCACUCCAUGUUCAUCCCUUCCCAGUCCCAUGUUGAUCCCAUGUCCAUCCCAUGUUGAUCCCAUAUUGGUCCCACGUUGAUCCCACGUUGAUCCCAUGUUGAUCCCAUGUAAAUCCCACGUUGACCCCAUGUUAAUCCCAUGUCGAUCUCAUGUUAAUCCCAUGUUGACCCUAUGCCAGUCUCAUGUCCAGCCCAUGUUGCUCCCAUGUCAAUCCCAUGUUAAUCCCAUAUUGAUCCCAUGUUAAUCCCAUGUUGAUCUGAUGCCGAUCCCAUGUAAAUCCCAUGUUGCUCCCAUGUCAAUCCCAUGACCAUUCCAUGUUAAUCCCAUGUCAAUCCCAUGUAAAGCCCACGUUGACCCCAUGUUAAUCCCAUGUUCAGCCCAUAUUGAUCCCAUGUUAAUCCCAUGUUGAUCUGAUGCCGAUCCCAUGUAAAUCCCAUGUCAAUCCCAUGACCAUUCCAUGUUAAUCCCAUGUCAAUCCCAUGUAAACCCCACAUUGACCCCAUGUCAAUCCCAUGUUAAUCCCAUGUCGAUCCCAUGUCCACCCCAUGUUGAUCCCAUGUUAAUCCCAUGUAGAUCCCAUGUUGCCCCCACAAGGACCAGCCCCACGGCUUCAUUACCAUCGGGCAUUAAUUAGUAACCCCCUCCCCUAAUUAACCCCCCUUUCCCCCCUAUUAAUUAAUUAACAACGGUUAAACGGGACCAAUUAAUUGGGUCAACCCCUCCCCCUCCCCUCCCUUUUGGGAUCAGUUAAUUACGAAAUGUAAUUAAUAAAGGCACUGCAGGAACAGCGUGACGCAAACGAAGCCGGGGGCGUUAAUGAGGGCACGGUUCGUUAGCGGGAGGGUUAAUUAAGACGGGGUGGGGGAAGGGAGGGAUGGGGGAACAUUGAGGGGGAAUUGGGGAAAAAUUGGGGGAAAAUUGGGAAAUUGAGGGGGAAAUUUGGGGAGAAUUUGGGGAGAAUUUGGGGUAUUUGUGGAAAUUCUGGGAAAAUUUGGGGGUAUUUGGGGAAAUUUGGGGAUAUAUGGAGGAAAAUGGGGGAAAAUUCGGGA